UGGGGUGGGAGGAAUUUAUUUCCAACAGAACCAGAGCAGGAGAAAAAGAGCCCAAAAUCCAACUUUGCCCUCCCCCAAUUCCCGGCGUUCCCUCGGUCCCUCCGGACAUUCAGGGGAGUUUUCCGUGAUUUCUCAACUUUGGGAAGAGUUUUCCAUGGAUUUCUUGGCUAUGGGAAAGAAUUUUCCAAGGAUUUCUCAAUUAUGGGAAGAGUUUUCCAUGGAUUUCUCCAAGAUGAUUCCAUCUCACAGUGAGUUUUCCAUGGAUUUCUCAGCUAUGGGAGAGUUUUCCAUGGAUUUCUUGCUUAUGGGAAGAGUUUUCCAUGGAUUUCUCCAAGGUGAAUCCGUCUCACAAUGAGUUUUCCAUGGAUUUCUCAACUAUGGAAUUUUCCAUGGAUUUCUCCAAGGUGGAUCCAUCCCACAGUGAGUUUUCCAAGGAUUUCUCAGCUAUGGGAAGAGUUUUCCAUGGAUUUCUUGUCCAUGGGAAGAAUUUUCCAUGGAUUUCUCCAAGGUGAAUCUAUCCCACAGCGAUUUUUCCAUGGAUUUCUCAACUUUGGGAAGAGUUUUCCAUGGAUUUCUUGGUUAUGGGAAGAGUUUUUCAUGGAUUUCUCAAUUAUGGGAAGAAUUUUCCACGGAUUUCUCAGCUAUGGAAUUUUCCAUGGAUUUCUUGGCUAUGGGAAAGAAUUUUCCACGGAUUUCUCAGCUAUGGAAUUUUCCAUGGACUUCUUGGCUAUGGGAAAGAGUUUUCCAUGGAUUUCUCCAAGGUGAAUCCAUCCCACAAUGAGUUUUCCAUGGAUUUCUCAGCUAUGGAAUUUUGCAUGGAUUUCUUGGCUAUGGGAAAGAGUUUUCCAUGGAUUUCUCCAAGAUUAAUCCAUUCCCAGGUAAGUUUUCCAUGGAUUUCUCAACUUUAGGAAGAGUUUUCCAUGGAUUUCUCCAAGGUGAAUCCAUCCCACAGCGAUUUUUCCAUGGAUUUCUCAGCUAUGGAAUUUUCCAUGGAUUUCUUGGCUAUGGGAAAGAGUUUUCCAUGGAUUUCUCCAAGGUGGAUCCAUCCCACAGUGAGUUUUCCAUGGAUUUCUUGGCCAUGGGAAGAGUUUUCCUUGGAUUUCUUGGCUAUGGGAAAGUUUUCCAUGGAUUUCUCAACUAUGGGAAGAAUUUUCCAUGGAUUUCUCCGAGGUGAGUUCGUCCCACAACAAGUUUUCCAUGGAUUUCUUGGUUAUGGGAAGAGUUCUCCAUGGAUUUCUCCAAGAUGAAUCUAUCCCACAGUGAGUUUUCCAUGGAUUUCUCAACUAUGGAAUUUUCCAUGGAUUUCUCCAAGGUGAAUCCGUCCCCAGGUAAGUUUUCCAUGGAUUUCACCGAGAUAAAUUCCUGAUGGAUUUUUCCAGAGGGUCAAUCCUUGGGGAACAUCCUGCUCCAAAGGUUUGACUCUCCAUGGGAUUCCUCCCAGGAAUCUGCUUUUUUUUUUUUUUCCAUGGAAUCUUCAGAUCCUUGCCAAGAUCCAGCUCCAGGAUAAGCUUGGAAUUUUUGGGAAUUUCCACUCCAGCACCAUGGAAUCGUCUCCAGACUCGUUUCUCUGCAAAAUUCCCGCUCUGGAAUUCCUGGAUUGGUUUCUUCCAACUUCAAUCUCAUUCCAGAAGCGACGCCGCCGUUCCCGACGGGAUCGGGAGAAGCUUCCGGAAACUUCCCGUGGAAUCAAUCCAGCCCCCCCGGAGCCUCCCGGGAUUUUGGCCACGCAAAGCCAAAAUUCCUGAUGGAAAUUCCAAUUUUUCUG
Molecule: long non-coding RNA, 1765 nt
Filed under: Zonotrichia albicollis (white-throated sparrow)
Lineage: Eukaryota; Metazoa; Chordata; Aves; Passeriformes; Passerellidae
Description: lncRNA (ENSZALG00000000952.1)
Source: RNAcentral